CAAUAGCUAAAUAAGAGCGUAUGGGGAAUGCCUAGGCUCUCAGAGGCGAUGAAGGACGUGAUAAGCUGCGAAAAGCUGCGGGGAUUGGCACAUACAAAUUGAUCCGCAGAUAUCCGAAUGGGGCAACCCAGCAUGUUGAAGACAUGUUAUCCGCAAGGAGGCGAACCCGGAGAACUGAAACAUCUAAGUACCCGGAGGAGAAGAAAACAAAAGUGAUUCCGAUAGUAGCGGCGAGCGAACUCGGAAUAGCCCAAACCAGUAUUGUUACGGCAAUGCUGGGGUUGUAGGACUGUAAUAUUUGAGCCAUGAUGAAUUAGAACGCUUUGGAAAGAGCGACCAGAGAGGGUGAUAGUCCCGUAUAGGUAAAGAAUGGUAAGAUAACAGUAUCCUGAGUGGUGCGGGGCACGUGAAACCCUGUAUGAAUUUGGCGGGACCAUCC
This 439-nucleotide ribosomal RNA is filed under the name uncultured Flavobacteriaceae bacterium. RNAcentral's name for it is "bacterial LSU rRNA". It matches the Rfam family "Bacterial large subunit ribosomal RNA", at positions 1 to 458 of the family's 2925-position model. Lineage: Bacteria; Pseudomonadati; Bacteroidota; Flavobacteriia; Flavobacteriales; Flavobacteriaceae. The record is from RNAcentral.